AGCUUUUGCCUGGUGUCAGCAAUUUCCUUUUAUUGGGGGAGUAGGGAAGGUACCGAACAGCAGCAGGCUUUUAGACUUUAGGCAGGUGUGACUCUUGAACUUACUGUCUUAUUUCACUUCAUCCUCCAAGGCGUGCACUCACUUGGUGUGCCCACCUUUUAAGUGCAAGAACAACGGACAGGCAAC
This 186-nucleotide non-coding RNA is filed under the name Rattus norvegicus (Norway rat). RNAcentral describes it as "Connexin-43 internal ribosome entry site (IRES)". It matches the Rfam family "Connexin-43 internal ribosome entry site (IRES)". Rfam says of the family: This family represents the connexin-43 internal ribosome entry site (IRES) which allows cap independent translation during conditions such as heat shock and stress. The record is from Rfam by way of RNAcentral. Lineage: Eukaryota; Metazoa; Chordata; Mammalia; Rodentia; Muridae.